Molecule: ribosomal RNA, 575 nt
Filed under: uncultured bacterium
Lineage: Bacteria
Description: bacterial SSU rRNA
Rfam family: Bacterial small subunit ribosomal RNA
Source: RNAcentral
CCUACGGGAGGCAGCAGUGAGGAAUAUUGGACAAUGGGCGCAAGCCUGAUCCAGCCAUGCCGCGUGCAGGAAGACGGUCCUAUGGAUUGUAAACUGCUUUUGUACAGGAAGAAACACUCCCUCGUGAGGGAGCUUGACGGUACUGUAAGAAUAAGGAUCGGCUAACUCCGUGCCAGCAGCCGCGGUAAUACGGAGGAUCCAAGCGUUAUCCGGAAUCAUUGGGUUUAAAGGGUCCGUAGGCGGUUUAAUAAGUCAGUGGUGAAAUCUGGUCGCUCAACGAUCAAACGGCCAUUGAUACUGUUAGACUUGAAUUAUUAGGAAGUAACUAGAAUAUGUAGUGUAGCGGUGAAAUGCUUAGAUAUUACAUGGAAUACCAAUUGCGAAGGCAGGUUACUACUAAUGGAUUGACGCUGAUGGACGAAAGCGUGGGGAGCGAACAGGAUUAGAUACCCUGGUAGUCCACGCCGUAAACGAUGGAUACUAGCUGUUCGGAGCAAUCUGAGUGGCUAAGCGAAAGUGAUAAGUAUCCACCUGGGGAGUACGUUCGCAAGAAUGAAACUUAAAGGAAUUGACGG